UGUCAGAGGGACCUUCUGAAGUGCAC
This 26-nucleotide non-coding RNA is filed under the name Rattus norvegicus (Norway rat). The record is from RNAcentral. Lineage: Eukaryota; Metazoa; Chordata; Mammalia; Rodentia; Muridae.